Long non-coding RNA from Larimichthys crocea (large yellow croaker), 440 nucleotides. RefSeq lists it as uncharacterized. The transcript is spliced from 4 exons. The record is from RefSeq and is a predicted model, not a curated record. NCBI's taxonomy places the organism in Eukaryota, Metazoa, Chordata, Actinopteri, Sciaenidae.
GCCAGAGCUCCUUACCCUAGUCUCGUCGAAGUCUCUGUCUCGUGUUUGUGUCUUAUCAGCGAGUACAGUGCAGGGCGGUAAAGGUUCAACACAUCUCUGGAGACUCUCAGCUCGUUUGAAGACUCUCAGUUACUUUCCAGACCUCCACCACCCCCACCGCCAUCGACGCCGAGCCCAGAAUAAACUCCUCAUCCUCAUCAGCACCUCCUCGACACCUUUUAUACAGAGGCUGUUUUCUGGGGGAGAGUUCACCGAAGAGUCGGCAGGGAGGACUGACCGGAUCUAUAUUAAACUCUGUAAUGUAUCCCAGCAUGCUCGGUGCUCACUUUUUAGUGAAUAAGCACAAAGGCACUGCUGGUUAACGCUGAGCGGUGAGGUCAUCUGUUGUCGAAGUGUGUGCAGAGAUGAGUCACUGCUCCGUAUGUUUGGAUGAAACAAGA